GGUGGAGCCCCGAGUAAAGCGAGCAACAGGAAAGUGAAGUCAAGUCUACGGCGGGAAUGGGAAAGGGCUUUAUCUGAGCCAAGCUGAGGGCUACGGCCCGAGACAUGGCCUCUCAGAUCACUCAGAAUCCGCUCCAGAGAAGCGGCUUUCAGCAGUUUCACGUCUCAACAGAACAAAAAAACAUUAAACAAGUCAGGGAUACAUCCCUUCAAGGUUUCAAAAGCAGAACAGAUCAGCCCGUGCACAGGGGGUCAGCAGGCCUUGGCACCUGGGAGGGGAGUCUUAUCAAAGGAGGACCAGCCUUGGGGUCCCAGGACGGGAGGCAUCUCAUCUUUAUUUUGAACAUGGACAUUCUUCGUUGGGCGGCUUCCCAGGCGACUCAGUGGUAAAGAACACCCCCCAGCCCCCAAUAAUGCAGGAGGCACAGAGUCACGGGUUCAGUCCCUGAGCCGGGAAGAUCCCCUGGAGGAGGAAAUGGCAAUCCACCCCAGUAUUCUUGUCUGGGAAAUCCCACGCACAGAGGAGCCGGGCAGGCCACAGUCCCUGGGGUUGCACAGUGGGACACGGCUGAGCAUGCGCAACAGUGGUGUUCUUUCCUUGUGGGCAGUGAGCCUUUUCCUGUUUGAGUUUAAGCAGCUGCACAAAGUAUGUUUGAUGGGCCACAAACAGGCUGUUCUAGUUGGUAUCAAAUUCAGGGUAACUCACAUACAAGUGGGGCUUCCCUGAUGGCUCAGUUGGUAAAGAACCCACCUGAAAUGCAGGAGAUCCCAGUUUUGGGUUCCAUCCCUGGGUCGGGAAGAUCUCCUGGACACAGGAACAGCUACCCACUCUAUAUGUGGACAUUUCUUUCAUCAACACCAACCCUGCACUGUGACGAAGAUGCUUGGCUGAAAGGGGAGGGUUUGCUAUCCCACACACUCAUGCACACAUACACACUCCCACACACACACAAGCACAUGCUCCCCCAACGGUCUGCCCAGGAAGCUGCCUCCAGCUGCCCUGGUCUCACGGAGUCUGCUCCCCCGAGGGCCUGGUGCUGGGCAGCCCUGCAGGGAGAGGAGGAGAGGAGGAGAGGACCCUCCAGACGGGGGCUGGCCUCACUGGGCAGCCCUGCAGGGAGAGGAGGAGAGGACCCUCCAGACGGGGGCUGGCCUCAGUGCUGCUUCCAGCAGCACUCCUCAGCAGAGCCACUCUGACCCCCGCUCACCCGGUGAUCCCCAGGGAUCCGGACGGACUCCAUCCCAGGGGCCUCAGCUUGCAGCUGGGGUGUGGGCUGGGCCCCUCCUCUGCCCCUCACGCUCUGUGGACACCCCCCUCACCAGCACCCCUCCCCCCGACCUCCACUCCAG
Molecule: long non-coding RNA, 1349 nt
Organism: Bos taurus (domestic cattle)
Lineage: Eukaryota; Metazoa; Chordata; Mammalia; Artiodactyla; Bovidae
Source: Ensembl